Molecule: long non-coding RNA, 7190 nt
Organism: Lotus japonicus
Lineage: Eukaryota; Viridiplantae; Streptophyta; Magnoliopsida; Fabales; Fabaceae
Exons: 3
Source: RefSeq, a predicted model, not a curated record
UGGAAUUUGAUGGAGAAAUUUGAGUUGUUGUUCUUGGUGCUAAUGUUUGUUCUUUAGCGAAGUAUAUGAGAUUUGAUUUUAAGUUAUUUAUAGAUUUAGUUUAUCUCCCUGCAAUUUAGCUUGCGUGUUGAUCUUCGUUUUGAUGAAUUUUUUGGAUUUGUAUUUUUCCCCCCACAAAGUUUCAGUAUUAAUAUUAGAGGGCUCUUAAUAUUAUAUUAUCUAUAUCUUUUAAAAUAUGCAGGUGAGUAAAAGAAAAAGAAGGACAGAUUCUAAGAAUAGAUUGUUGUUCAGAAAGCUGAGGAAACAAACUGAAUAAAACCAUUCACAUUACAGGUUCAAUCACUCAAUGGUAGCAACUAGAUUUUCUUGGGAAGAUGUAAAGCAUAAAGGGUGGCUUCUUGACGGGUACCAUCGGAGUUUGGCUCAAGCUGUAAGUUGUGAGAAAAUGCAGAUAUGACCUGAUGUGUUUAUAGUAUUAGAUGUAUGUCAAAUUUUUAGUACUUCCAUGCUACUUUAAUUGUCUUUUUUCUGAUUUUGAUUUCUUUUACAUCUUUGCAAAUGGCACUUAGAUAACUGAAAGAAGCUUCCUUUUUCUUUCCCUAUAAAACCUCUUAUGCAAAACUUGCAAUUUUGUAGAAUGUUUAGUUUUUAAUAGAAGUCAUGAAUUUCUAGGUCAUAUUGCUAUGUUAUUUAUAAUAAACUUAACGACUUAGUGGCUUUGAAGAACAAACACACACACAUGCACUGUCUAAAAUAUAGGACCCUGGGAUACCACAUAUGUGUGAGUGAGAGAGAGGAGUUAAUUCUAACCAUCCAUGCAUGAUUUAUUGUCAAGAUUAGCUCUUCUCAUGUUUUCACUUGAUACACCCCUUAUAUAUGAAAUAUGUGGGGUAUAUGGGUGAACAUAGGAAGAAGUAACAUUCCCUUAUUGGUCUUUACUAUUUGAUUAUGAGGAUAAAGUCAUUCAUAUGCAUAAAAUGUUCAUUGUGCGUUUCAUUUACAUUCAACUCUUGGAAUUUAGUUUCUUUCUCUUCAUGUAGCAGCAAUAUAUUAUUAAUUGGGGUGGUGGUGGUAAACCUUAAUCAGAUUUCCUUCUCUAAUAGCAUUCAGAGUCUAAAGUAAUACAAACAUGUAGUUUUAUAUGCACUUAAAUGUCUUCAUGUGCCUGUAAUGAUCUUAAACACCCCUUUCUUUGUUGUUUUUUGUGUCUCAUCUAUGCAUGUUCGUAUGUCAUUUCUACAAUGUCAUAUUGUAUUAACAUUUUUUAUACUUAUGCUUAGUUUGGAUGGGAAAAUGUAGUUAGGUUCACCUUAAAGAAAGAAUCUGUUUUAAUGAGCUUUUUGUUGCACUGUUGUUUAAGAUGUUUUUGUUCCUAGGUCAGUGCUUCAGCCCUCGGUUCAUCAAUUUGCUUAAUUUUUCAUGUAUGUGCUUGAGAAAAUGAUUCUCAGAAUUACUCCUUAGUCUGCAGUUUUGGUGAUCGAUUUGCUUCCGAAUAAUUAAUUUUGUUCUCUCAUUAGAAACCAAUCCUUCUUGGAUUAUUGUGAUUGGAAUUCAAAAGCUAUAGGGAAUAAUUAGAACAUUGGUUGCUGACUUGGUUCACUUUCUGUUAUAAACAGUUAAAUAAAUUGUCUGUUGUCUUAUGUAUCUUUCCAAUUAAUUGGUGCUAUUCUUAUGAGUGUGAUCAUGUUUCUUAAAACUGAGGACAUAUAUAUUGGUUAUAGACUUAUAGUGCUUCAAGUUUCAACUGAGAUCAUUUGAUUCUGAUAUUACUGAUUUCAAUGAAAUAGCAACUUCAAUUGUUGGUUUCUUUUGCUACUUGCAAGUUUCAUUUGAUACUAAGAGAGAGGACAUCUAUUGGCAAGUAUCAACUUUGAUUUGUUUGUUUUUAAGUUGAGAAACAGUUAAUUGCCAUAGAACAUGUGCAACUUAUUAGAUAUAUUUGGUGUACUUUUUCAGAAAAAGAUGCAUAAAAUGGCAUAGUUGCAUUUGGUUCAGACUUCAGACCCUAUUAGCGGUAGAGAAAGAAUUGUCUUCUCAAUGCUAUAAUUUCUGCUGCAAUUGGAAUAGAAGGAAGAUAACAUGUUUGGCAGAAGUUGAAGUUGGAAUAGACAACAUUGAGGAUAACAUGUUUGACAGAAGUUGAAGUGCUACAUUUGAUAGAAGAAAGAACAUAAGCUAAUAAAAAUAAGUAUUUUCCCAAGAGUGGUCUACAGUGGCUAAGCUAAGCUUAACAUUGCAAGAUGUUAGCACUGUGGGAUUCCAAUUCUUAUGUUUUAGUUUUUAACAUUGAUCAAUGUUUUUAUAAGUUCAAACUUCAAAGUAAGGUACUCAACUCGAACUAUUAAAAUUGAGCAUUUGAAAGUGGGUAGCUAUAGCAAUCAAAAAAGAGGUAUUGUUGUAGAGUUACAUAGCUGACCUAUGUUGGUUAAAUUUUACAGCUUCUUCAUAUUGGUAAUGUUUUUAUCCUAAUAUUACCUCUCUUAUUUUUAUUUGUUUAAGUUGAUGUUCGUGUCUUAUUCUUUAACCAUUUCAGGCAGCUAACAGAAAUUUAACACCCUUCUUUUAAACAAUAAAAAGGAAAAAGAAAGUAAAGAGUUUUAAAUAUGCAACUAGACAACUUACUAAUGCCUUGGAUACUAAUUAAGAUCUAUAAAAGCAUGUAUAUUUAGAGUACUAUUGUCUUGAGGUAACCUCUAUGAUGUGUAGACUCUGCUUGACCAUGAUGUAGUUUAUGAAGAUUUAAGGCAACUCUCUAUCCAUAAAGUUGUAGUUGAAAUCGCCUCUAUAUGUAUGAAUUGUUACUAGAUUAUGUUAUAAAUGCUUAAAGCUAUUGUGUAUCUUAUAAUUGAUUUUCUUACUAGAGUUGCCAACUAAUUUUAUAAACAUCUAAAUAUAAGUUGUUUAACAUUUCUCUUUUAUGUUUCUAUAGUUUUCCUUUAUUUUCCCUCACAGUUCACUGAACUAUAAUUGUAUACUUGUAUCAAAUGUAUUGUAGAAAUUUAUUUGUGUUAAACCAAAACAUGAAGAGAAAUGACGAGUAUUUUGAUUACCACUUUGAAGAAAAUGGUGACCGCAUAAAAGAAGAAAAUAUAGCUUAGAAUAGUAAAUAUUGUUUUACCAAGAUUUUCAUUUUAGGAUGUUAUGGCUGCUCCUAAUCUAAAGUUUUAAAGACAUAAUUUCAACUGUGGAUUCCAACAUCAAUUUCUUUCCUAUUCUGCAGAGAUUUAAAAUCAUCUCAACAGAAUACUCAUUGACUUGUCAGAUUGAAAACAUGCAUCUUAUAAUUCAAUUUGUUUUCUUGGAAGACUUUCCCAUAACUGGAAGUGUAGGAUUACUUAACUAUUGAAGAUUUUCUCAAGUAGUGGAAGAAUCAUGGUUCAAACCCAGUGAAGUGAGUGAUAAACUGGAAAGAAGAUAGAUCAGGAUCUUUUGCGUGGUUCGUAUGUAAGUCUCCUUUCAUCGAUUUUCAAACCUUCAUUUACUUCAUGUUCGGUGUGAUGUCUCUCUUCAUGUUCAUUUUUCCUUUUCCCUUCCCUCCAUCACCAAAUUGUUGUCAUUAAGCUAGAAAAGUUGGUAGUCCAUUUUCUUAAAGCUGUGUUUAUUCUGUUGUGGGUCUUCAUCUUGAUGUGUUUUAAAGAUAUUUUUUUAUUCUAAAAGCUGGCCUUUAUUUUCAAUUUUAAGUAUGUGAAGGUGUGUUUUUCUUCUAUUCUCACCUCAUCAGAUAUACAUUUGACUUUCAUUCACCUAGUUUAUUUCUACUUAAGAGUAUAAAUGGAAACUCCAAAGAUUUAGUUUGGUUAAUUUAAUUCACUUUUAAUUAUUUUAGAUCCUUAAAGCAUUUUUUUGCUGGAAGAAUCCAUCUUCUUCUCCAGUUUGAGGCUAAGUUUUGUGAAAAUUGAAGAAGCAAUUUUUAGAACUCUUGAAUCAGUUGCAGCAUAUUUCCAAUGAGUUCUAUUGUUCUAUGGCUUGUGGAGUUAACGGAUAUUUUGAUGAAAUUGACGGCGAUUGUAUUUCGGUGACAACAAGUCCCACUGGAGAAGACAUCGGCAGUGGUGAGGGAAGGUUGCUGGCAUGAGCAGAGGGAGAAUGCUAGAGUUGUGUUUUGUUUGGUUGAAUCCUAUUUCAAGUUGACUGUACGUUUGAUUGUGAUUUCAAAUUUUAUUUAAUUUAAAUGUUUGGCUGACCUUUGCUUUGAUCUAAGGGACAGGAAAGUUGCUGGAGAGGCUGGAGGGAUGUUACUGCUGGAGAGGAUCCAGAUUCUUCCUUUGAUUCCCCUGACCGGCGAGUAAUUUUCUUUUUAGUACUAUGAGGCUAUGAUCUCCUUGCUUUUCUCUUAAUUAGUGCAUCUUGUCUUCACGAAGGUGUCUCUUUACUCAGUUUUUAUUUAUUGAGUGCUGUGUAUUCUUUACUAUGCACUCUCUAAAUCAGUCGGCCCCCGUCUAUUUCAUGCUCUUGCACAUAUAACUUCUAUUUGAACAAUUGCAAUCUACCGUGAUAUUCUAUAUUUAUGGUAGAAUUUUAAUACCGAGCUUUUUUUAGCACUAUUCAUAAGAGGUAUUUUUUGGCCGAAUGUUGUAACAGAUUCUGCUCCCUAAUGUUGUAACCUGCUGUUUUUAUUCUCUUAUUAGUUUUAGUUUGAGAUUUCUGUUCUUAAUUAUAUGUUGUGUUUGAGUAUGUUCUUAAAACUUUGUUUUCCUAUGUGCUUUAUGUAUAUGUUUUGAAUGGAAAGUAAGUAUUUACUCAAUUGGCAUACCUGACAAGGGUUAUUUUAAAGCCUUUUCAUGAAAUAUACUUAUCAUCACAACAUUUCAUCCAGCACUCUCUAAUGAGAAGCAAUGCGCGUGACAAAAGGGGUGGGUGGGUUAUUUGGUUUUCAUCGAUCUGGACCAUCUCGAAUCUCCGAAAUUCAGUGCUUUUUAGAGGCAGUGAAGAUGAUGCUUCUGAUACAGUAGAGUUAAUUCAAUUCAAAUCGUGCCUGUGGUUGAAAGCAAAAUCAAAAGGUUUUGAUUUCUCUCUUUUCGAAUGGAAGGCAAACACUUAAUCCGUUUGGAAUCCCUAUAAUUGAGCUAUGGUUUUAUUGCUAUGGAGUUGAGGUGAAUUUUGGGGAAUUUGGUUAUGGUGCUUUGGUUUCGUUGAUACAGUUUGGCAUAAGGUGCACUCAGGAUGAACUCCAAUUCUGGUGAGCUUCGUCUGCAGCAUAGAAGGAGUAGAUAUGAGUGUUCUAGCUCUUUCCACUCUGUUCAUGAUCUUGUGCUGUGAAACCUGAGUUUUUGUCCAUCUACUUAGCUCAUCAUUGAUAUGCUGGUCCUAAUUGGCUGACUUACUAUGAGGCUAUGGUAGGCUUUAUCAAGUGCAGGACCUUUGGAGCUGAAGCAUGUAGGGGAGAAGGGAUCGAUUACAUGUUUGUCUACUCGAUUUUACCAUAAGGAUUGCAUUUCCAAUAUCAGACAUCUUGACUCCUCAAAGGUGGGUGUGAUUUAGGGAUCAAGCUGGAGGUUGUAUGAAGACUAAAGUAUUUUUUCCAAGUAUGGUUUGUUCUAAUCAAUACUUUGAUAGUGGUUUUGGUAUGCUGGCUUAUUUUGGUUGGGACCUAACAAUCAUAGAACUGUCUGAGUAGUUGUCUGGUGAGAAUUUAUGUUUACCUAUACUGAUAGCAUUGUUUUCGUGUUUUCUGGGGCCUUAGUUUUGCCCCCUUGAUCCCUUGUCUUUUGUACUCAUAUUGUAUUUAGGUUCUAGCAUCCCUUGUGCUAGCUUUGAAUACAGUUUUUGCUUAUAAAUAAAAAACUUGAGAAUCACAUGACUGUAAUUUGGGUAGAAUGUGAUUUUGGAAUAUUAAAGCUUAACAGUUGAAAGUUCUUUUUUCGGUUCAGUGUCUGCUGCACUUGGGUGUUUUUUUCUUUUAGCCUUUGUGGUUAUGGUGUGAGUUUUAGCUUCCUAUCAGUUGUACUUUUUCGUUUUGGCAUUUACAAAAUUUGACUUCUUUACAUUCACUCUUUUUAAGAGCUUUUGUUGGAAUUUUACAGUCCUAUUAGUUAUAGGAGGUGGUUUUUUUUUUUUUUUUUUUUUUUUUUUUUUUUUUUUUUAUAAUCAUGGUGAAGCUAGAUUUGGUGUUGGAAGUUUGAAGUUGUAAGCAGUCCACCAAAUUCAGGGAACUAUGAUGAUUCGCUUUGUUUGUAAAGUGAAUCUAAGUUUAGCAUCAGAGUAUAUGAUGUGUAGUUCAGAGAGAUUCAUUAUAGGACCAAGACCGGUCAUCUUAGCCCUGCAACCGCAUAUCCAAGCUGUGCCAAUAAUGACUUAUUGUUUGAGGAUGAAGACAUAUGACUAUUAAUUUAGUUAGUGACGGUGGAUCUAAUAAUGAAGUUGAAGAAAUGCAUUGUGAGUAGUUUGGUUUGGAUGCUUGAUAUCAUUGCUGAUCUCAUCCAUGGGAACGAAUUUCUGGUUUGUUUUGUAUUUUGUUUACUUACAUUGUUAGUAUUAAUUUAUUUGCAUUACUUGCGUUGUGAAACAGAUCCUCCCCAAUCGUGUCCAGUAAGAAUAUUUCGUACACUUGCCUCCUGAAAUAAGUGUUCUCCUUCUAGAUGGAUCUCGGACCAAUUGGAAAAUUCUUUAGUACUCUAUUGGUGAGAGAAGAGGCAAAAGAUAUGUCAAUUUUGGCUUAAAGGGUGAGACAUGUUGCAAGUGGUUUGACUUCUAAUUAUAAAUAGUUUAGUUAUGUUUGGUUCUACAUUAAAACAUCUCUUUGACUUAUCAUUUUAUCAUUUGUGCAUUUCCAACAAAUAUUGUAACAUUGUUAUUGUAUUAUAAUUAUAUUAAAUAAGUGAAAAAAUGCAAAAUACUUCUGUUUUAUAUCGAUUAAAGUUAACAAUCGGUUUAUUGUCAUAGAUAUUAGCAAAGUUGAUAAUAAAUUUUGUUCAUUUUAUCAUGAAGGUUACCUAAUCCCAUCCCAAUGAACCAAUAAAAUUAUUUAUAAAUAAACAAAUAAAAUAUGAAAAUUUUAUUCAACUUAUCUUAAAUGUGAUUGGUCCACCUAAGAUCAUGUAUUAUUUAACCCAAACUUUUCCAUGAGUCAUUUAGACAACUGCGGUAUAUAAUUGAAAAGAUUACAAAUUAUUGGUAUGUAAAUUAAUUUGUUCAUCUUAAUAAAUUACAGAAUUAAUUAUGUUAAAUCGUAGAAUCGCUCGUCCGUGCAU